CAAGAAUCGAAGUACUCGAAAUUCGACUCCCGAAAUAGGAUGCGAAAAUUGAUAUUAAAGCCUUACGAGGUUCCAGUUGGCAUUCUUGGCAAUGAAUGUCUAUCGGGACGUUGCGACGGUUGUCACGGGCUCGAGGGGAGUAUCAGGUCGUGACAGUAUAUGGCAUUGGAAUGUGGAAAGUUAACAAGAUGCAAGAUUAAUUUGCCCUUUGGAAUGGCAAUAUGACUCAAUUGAAGGGGAACAAUUAUAGACCAUGCAUUGUACUUUUUUCUACUUUUGACCAAUUUUUGUUCCACUGGGUUUUUGCGGCUUAAGAUUUUUAAUGAAGCAAUAUAAUGGACAUUCAAGGGAUAAACCCUAUAAGUGGCAACAUGGCUUAAUUGAGGGUUAGCAAUUAUGGACCAUGCACUAUACUCUUUUUUCUUUUUGACUGGUUUUUGUCCCGUUGGGUUUUUUCGGCUUAAAAUUUUUAAUGAGACAGUACAACGGAUAUUCAAGGGGGAGUGUUAUAGAUAUAUGUGAAUAUUCAUUGUAUUUGAUAAUAUCCAAUGUAUCUCCUAUAUCCAAUGCACAUAUUUAUGUUGGUACAUCUUUAUCUCUUGAUUUCAUUCA
This is a non-coding RNA of Theobroma cacao (cacao), 612 nucleotides long. The record is from RefSeq and is a predicted model, not a curated record. Lineage: Eukaryota; Viridiplantae; Streptophyta; Magnoliopsida; Malvales; Malvaceae.